GUCACUUUGCCGGAGUGGUUAACGGGAUCGCCUGCUAUUUCUAGCUACCAGCGGUUGUGCUUUGCACGCGAGUGUUCGAAUCGCUCAGGUGACG
This 94-nucleotide transfer RNA is filed under the name Cristinia sonorae. RNAcentral describes it as "tRNA-Ser". It matches the Rfam family "tRNA". From Rfam's summary of the family: Transfer RNA (tRNA) molecules are approximately 80 nucleotides in length. Their secondary structure includes four short double-helical elements and three loops (D, anti-codon, and T loops). Lineage: Eukaryota; Fungi; Basidiomycota; Agaricomycetes; Agaricales; Stephanosporaceae. The record is from RNAcentral.